UUCUAAUAUGGCAGAUUAGUGCAAUGGACUUAAACCCCAUAUAUAAAGUUUUCUUUUUUUAGAAA
RNAcentral lists this transfer RNA (65 nucleotides) under unidentified. RNAcentral's name for it is "Exostira schroederi tRNA-Leu". It matches the Rfam family "tRNA". From Rfam's summary of the family: Transfer RNA (tRNA) molecules are approximately 80 nucleotides in length. The record is from RNAcentral.